GAUCAGUGAUGAAAAAUAGCCAAAUCUGAGUGCUUAGGCAGAAUCUGCCUCAGCCUGUGAUUAUGUUUGAGA
Small nucleolar RNA from Amphilophus citrinellus (Midas cichlid), 72 nucleotides. NCBI's taxonomy places the organism in Eukaryota, Metazoa, Chordata, Actinopteri, Cichliformes, Cichlidae. The record is from Ensembl.